This 498-nucleotide ribosomal RNA is filed under the name uncultured Lachnospiraceae bacterium. RNAcentral's name for it is "partial 16S ribosomal RNA". Lineage: Bacteria; Bacillati; Bacillota; Clostridia; Lachnospirales; Lachnospiraceae. The record is from RNAcentral.
CACGUAGUUAGCCGGGGCUUCUUAGUCAGGUACCGUCAUUUUCUUCCCUGCUGAUAGAGCUUUACAUACCGAAAUACUUCCUCACUCACGCGGCGUCGCUGCAUCAGGGUUUCCCCAUUGUGCAAUAUUCCCCACUGCUGCCUCCCGUAGGAGUUUGGGCCGUGUCUCAGUCCCAAUGUGGCCGUUCACCCUCUCAGGCCGGCUACUGAUCGUCGCUUUGGUAGGCCGUUACCCUGCCAACUGGCUAAUCAGACGCGGGUCCAUCUCAUACCGAUAAAUCUUUUCCGUCCGUAUCAUGCGAUACUAGCGGGUUAUGCGGUAUUAGCGGUCGUUUCCAACUGUUAUCCCCCUGUAUGAGGUAGGUUACCCACGCGUUACUCACCCGUCCGCCACUCAGUCACAAGAGUUCUCAUCCGAAGAUUCAAUCUCAAGUGCUUCGUUCGACUUGCAUGUGUUAAGCACGCCGCCAGCGUUCAUCGUGAGCCAGGAUCAAACUCU